AGCGAACGCUGGCGGCAGGCCUAACACAUGCAAGUCGAACGAACUCUUCGGAGUUAGUGGCGGACGGGUGAGUAACACGUGGGAACGUGCCUUUUGGUUCGGAAUAACUCAGGGAAACUUGUGCUAAUACCGAAUGUGCCCUUCGGGGGAAAGAUUUAUAGCCAUUAGAGCGGCCCGCGUCUGAUUAGCUAGUUGGUGAGGUAACGGCUCACCAAGGCGACGAUCAGUAGCUGGUCUGAGAGGAUGACCAGCCACACUGGGACUGAGACACGGCCCAGACUCCUCCGGGAGGCGGCAGUGGGGAAUCUUGCGCAAUGGGCGAAAGCCUGACGCAGCCAUGCCGCGUGAAUGAUGAAGGUCUUAGGAUUGUAAAAUUCUUUCACCGGGGACGAUAAUGACGGUACCCGGAGAAGAAGCCCCGGCUAACUUCGU
Molecule: ribosomal RNA, 432 nt
Filed under: uncultured bacterium
Lineage: Bacteria
Description: partial 16S ribosomal RNA
Rfam family: Bacterial small subunit ribosomal RNA
Source: RNAcentral